UAUAAAUGUUAAAAUCGAUUCUAAGUUAAGCAUUUUUAGGAUUAUUAAGCAUCUCAUAUGUGUUGGGUCUCUGAUUGGUUGCUGAAAAUAACAAAAGAAAAAAAAUAGAAUUCUCGACCGAAGCUUUUUUCUUCCUCUCUCGAGGAGGACGGCAAUGGAUGUAACCAAGUCGUGCCCCAGAAGAAGCUCAGUCGAAACCUAGCUAACGGUGCGGCUGAUUGGGAAGUGUCUUUUGCGAAUGUUGCGGCAAAGAUGGGUCCUUCAGAUCUAGCGGAUUUCCUGGACAAAGUGCCGGUACAUGCAAUCCUUCUCAAUCUCUCAUCUUCUUAAUCAAUCAAAAUUUCCCAAUUUUUUUUGGUUUGGUUUGUUAAUUUCCCAAUAGGACAAGUAUCCGCCUGUGCCCAUGUCUCGGCUAACGAGAUUUCUCGAUUACUAUGACACUGCACUUUCCGGAGUAUCAUGUCCAUGGCGUGAGAUUUUCAAGGACUCUAAUUUGGCCAGGCUGAUCAAUAGAACUGUAGAAUCUCCAUCUUCAGCUUCAGUUUCCUGCAAGCCCAACAAAACCUGUGAAAGAAUCUGGAAAUGUCCACCAUGAUAAGUUAGUUAGUAGAGAUGGUAAACACAACAAUAGUGGAUAGAAGCUAUAUGUGUAAUGGAAUGAUGUUGCUGGACUUGAUGGAGGUAAACAAGCUUUACUGCAGAUGGUGAUACUACCGAGAGUACUCUUCAUACAAAUGACUUAUAGCUGGACUUGAUGGAGCUAAACAAGCUUUAUUUUUUUGUAGGAUGUCGUCUCUCAUACAAAUGUCUAAACCUUGCAACUGCAGCAGCGAGACAUUCUCUACUCUCCAGAAUCAUAUAAAGCUUGCUCUCAAGUUUUCAGGAUCUUAUACAUUUCUAACUUGUUGUUCUGUUUUUUUUUUUCUUCCAGGUUCUGGAUGAUGUUUAUAUCAAUCAAUGAUGGUUUUGUACUUAACA
Camelina sativa (false flax) is the source of this 978-nucleotide non-coding RNA. NCBI's taxonomy places the organism in Eukaryota, Viridiplantae, Streptophyta, Magnoliopsida, Brassicales, Brassicaceae. The record is from RefSeq and is a predicted model, not a curated record.